Molecule: transfer RNA, 74 nt
Filed under: Medicago truncatula (barrel medic)
Lineage: Eukaryota; Viridiplantae; Streptophyta; Magnoliopsida; Fabales; Fabaceae
Description: tRNA gene30464
Source: RNAcentral
AUUUAUUUAGCUUAGUUGGUCAAUUUUAAAGCCUCAAAUCCUUUUGGUCCUAAGUUCAAAUCUUAGAUUCAACA